AGAAAUCUCACCAGGUUCAGAAAUAUUGGACAGAUUUGUCGGUACAUGGCCGGUAUUAGUUGGUGGAGCGAUUUGACAAGUUAAUGCAGAUAACAAAGAGACUCUGUCAUGCUGAAUAGUUUCAGCUUUUCAUUUGAACCGACAAUUCUUGUUAGAGGGACUGGCAACUCUUAGUCACACAAGAUUGUGUAAUAA
Molecule: ribosomal RNA, 195 nt
Filed under: uncultured eukaryote
Lineage: Eukaryota
Description: partial 18S ribosomal RNA
Source: RNAcentral